CCAUGCUAGCCGGGGAGGCAGCGGCGCCCUGUACCCACAAUCCGCUAUAGUGGGGGUGAUGUCCGCUUUGCGGAUGCUUAUCUUUUACGGCUGCCCUGUUGAACUGAUGUUGAAAGAUUGAGUCUUGUGCAAUAGGAACCUGUGAACCGUGUCAGAUCCGGAAGGAAGCAGCACUAAGCAGUCAUUUCUAUGUGCCACGAGGUCGCUUGGUCCGAGUCGGUGAUGCAGGUAACGCGCAGAAGAGGCAGACAAGAAGCGGACGCAUGG
RNAcentral lists this signal recognition particle RNA (267 nucleotides) under Clostridiales bacterium. RNAcentral describes it as "signal recognition particle sRNA large type". It matches the Rfam family "Bacterial large signal recognition particle RNA". From Rfam's summary of the family: The signal recognition particle (SRP) is a universally conserved ribonucleoprotein involved in the co-translational targeting of proteins to membranes. Archaeal SRP consists of a 7S RNA and homologues of the eukaryotic SRP19 and SRP54 proteins. Lineage: Bacteria; Bacillati; Bacillota; Clostridia; Eubacteriales. RNAcentral also lists the same sequence under 1 other name. The record is from RNAcentral.